GAACGGACGAGAAGCUUGCUUCUCUGAUGUUAGCGGCGGACGGGUGAGUAACACGUGGAUAACCUACCUAUAAGACUGGGAUAACUUCGGGAAACCGGAGCUAAUACCGGAUAAUAUUUUGAACCGCAUGGUUCAAAAGUGAAAGACGGUCUUGCUGUCACUUAUAGAUGGAUCCGCGCUGCAUUAGCUAGUUGGUAAGGUAACGGCUUACCAAGGCAACGAUGCAUAGCCCACCUGAGAGGGUGAUCGGCCACACUGGAACUGAGACACGGUCCAGACUCCUACGGGAGGCAGCAGUAGGGAAUCUUCCGCAAUGGGCGAAAGCCUGACGGAGCAACGCCGCGUGAGUGAUGAAGGUCUUCGGAUCGUAAAACUCUGUUAUUAGGGAAGAACAUAUGUGUAAGUAACUGUGCACAUCUUGACGGUACCUAAUCAGAAAGCCACGGCUAACUACGUGCCAGCAGCCGCGGUAAUACGUAGGUGGCAAGCGUUAUCCGGAAUUAUUGGGCGUAAAGCGCGCGUAGGCGGUUUUUUAAGUCUGAUGUGAAAGCCCACGGCUCAACCGUGGAGGGUCAUUGGAAACUGGAAAACUUGAGUGCAGAAGAGGAAAGUGGAAUUCCAUGUGUAGCGGUGAAAUGCGCAGAGAUAUGGAGGAACACCAGUGGCGAAGGCGACUUUCUGGUCUGUAACUGACGCUGAUGUGCGAAAGCGUGGGGAUCAAACAGGAUUAGAUACCCUGGUAGUCCACGCCGUAAACGAUGAGUGCUAAGUGUUAGGGGGUUUCCGCCCCUUAGUGCUGCAGCUAACGCAUUAAGCACUCCGCCUGGGGAGUACGACCGCAAGGUUGAAACUCAAAGGAAUUGACGGGGACCCGCACAAGCGGUGGAGCAUGUGGUUUAAUUCGAAGCAACGCGAAGAACCUUACCAAAUCUUGACAUCCUUUGACAACUCUAGAGAUAGAGCUUUCCCCUUCGGGGGACAAAGUGACAGGUGGUGCAUGGUUGUCGUCAGCUCGUGUCGUGAGAUGUUGGGUUAAGUCCCGCAACGAGCGCAACCCUUAAGCUUAGUUGCCAUCAUUAAGUUGGGCACUCUAAGUUGACUGCCGGUGACAAACCGGAGGAAGGUGGGGAUGACGUCAAAUCAUCAUGCCCCUUAUGAUUUGGGCUACACACGUGCUACAAUGGACAAUACAAAGGGCAGCGAAACCGCGAGGUCAAGCAAAUCCCAUAAAGUUGUUCUCAGUUCGGAUUGUAGUCUGCAACUCGACUACAUGAAGCUGGAAUCGCUAGUAAUCGUAGAUCAGCAUGCUACGGUGAAUACGUUCCCGGGUCUUGUACACACCGCCCGUCACACCACGAGAGUUUGUAACACCCGAAGCCGGUGGAGUAACCUUUAG
Molecule: ribosomal RNA, 1396 nt
Filed under: Staphylococcus aureus
Lineage: Bacteria; Bacillati; Bacillota; Bacilli; Caryophanales; Staphylococcaceae
Description: bacterial SSU rRNA
Rfam family: Bacterial small subunit ribosomal RNA
Source: RNAcentral